RNAcentral lists this unclassified non-coding RNA (337 nucleotides) under soil metagenome. RNAcentral's name for it is "partial contains 5.8S ribosomal RNA, internal transcribed spacer 2, and large subunit ribosomal RNA". The stretch from base 1 to 120 matches the Rfam family "5.8S ribosomal RNA", at positions 35 to 154 of the family's 154-position model. The record is from RNAcentral.
GAUGAAGAACGUAGCGAAAUGCGAUAAGUAGUGUGAAUUGCAGAAUUCAGUGAAUCAUCGAAUCUUUGAACGCACAUUGCGCCCCUUGGUAUUCCAUAGGGCAUGCCUGUUCGAGCGUCAUUUGUACCUUCAAGCUUUGCUUGGUGUUGGGUGUUUGUCUCGCCUCCGCGUGUAGACUCGCCUCAAAACAAUUGGCAGCCGGCGUAUUGAUUUCGGAGCGCAGUACAUCUCGCGCUUUGCACUCACAACGACGACGUCCAAAAGUACAUUUUUACACUCUUGACCUCGGAUCAGGUAGGGAUACCCGCUGAACUUAAGCAUAUCAAUAAGCGGAGGA